RNAcentral lists this ribosomal RNA (241 nucleotides) under uncultured bacterium. RNAcentral's name for it is "partial 16S ribosomal RNA". It matches the Rfam family "Bacterial small subunit ribosomal RNA", at positions 30 to 265 of the family's 1533-position model. The record is from RNAcentral.
AUUGAACGCUAGCGGGAUGCCUUACACAUGCAAGUCGAACGGCAGCGGGAAGUAGCUUGCUACUUUGCCGGCGAGUGGCGAACGGGUGAGUAAUGUAUCGGAACGUGCCCAGUAGCGGGGGAUAACUACGCGAAAGCGUGGCUAAUACCGCAUACGCCCUACGGGGAAAGGGGGGACGUCUUCGGAGCCUCUCACUAUUGGAGCGGCCGGAUAUCGGAUUAGCUAGUUGUGGGUAAAGGCU